AAAAGAAUGUUCCAGAAUUAUUUCAAAACAGGGAUGUUUCUUGUUCACAUCCUAAACAUUGGAUUCGGUUUUUCUUGUGAAAAUCCAAACGUAGAGGUUUGGACCUCGGAGAAAGAUUCGUAUGGUGCUCCAAUCCAGUCUUUCUGUAAAGGUUUUCUACUAUAUGGAAGAUACAUUCUACUUCCAGCACACUGUUUAAUAUCAGCUAAACACCUUACUGUUCUCAAG
Long non-coding RNA from Eurytemora carolleeae, 228 nucleotides. RefSeq lists it as uncharacterized. The transcript has 4 exons. The record is from RefSeq and is a predicted model, not a curated record. Lineage: Eukaryota; Metazoa; Arthropoda; Copepoda; Calanoida; Temoridae.